This is a long non-coding RNA of Haliaeetus leucocephalus (bald eagle), 794 nucleotides long. RefSeq lists it as uncharacterized. Lineage: Eukaryota; Metazoa; Chordata; Aves; Accipitriformes; Accipitridae. The transcript is spliced from 2 exons. The record is from RefSeq and is a predicted model, not a curated record.
UGGACGGGCCGGGCGGAAGGCUGGGGGCGGCCAUCUUAGAGCCGGGCGAAGGCUGCGAGGGCGGGCAGGGCCGCGACGCCGGAAGCAGGGAACGCUCCUAAAUAAAUGCUUUUAUAGCCCUAGCUCCCAAACGAGCGGGCUCCACUUCAAACUUGCGUCGGGAGUAGGAGCUACGAGAAAAUUAGAAUCGCGAUUUCACGGUGCAGCGUGAGCGCACCGAUCAGGAGCAGCACAGCCGGCGACAGCCGCACCAGCGCGGGCGGGGCGGCACGGCGGCUAGGUCUCGGUGCAGAGCGUGCUCUGUUUUGUUUGUGAAAGGAAAGAAGGAAAGUCUUUUGAACGUCAACUGCUGGUCUUCCUCGUCCGAGUUCUGAGCGGAUUUUUACACCCGUAGCAGAGACGCGAGCCGCAGGAUGCCGGUGCCCAGGCAGGAGCGUAGCCAGGAGCUUCCCCCGUGCACAGGACUUGCAAGAAGGGCCUCUGGAGUACUCUGAUCCCCCCAAAUACAAAGGUACUGACUGGACGGAGCGAGUCCGAGUCCGGCAGAAGGCUGCAAAGAUGGUCAGGGAUCAGAGCACGAGGGACGAGCCGAGGCUGAGAGCCGGGCUUUUUCAGCCUUGAAAAGAGAAGGCUUUGUGAGGACCUUGCUGCUGUCCACAGCUACCUCACCAGAGGAGCCAGAGAAGACGGAGGAAAACUCGUCAGAGUUGCAUAGCAAAGAGGCAGCAGGCACAGGUAUAUAAAAAAAAAUAUUUUGGAAGAACGUCAGAAGUUCAGCCUUCUGUAACUCCCAG